Oreochromis aureus is the source of this 5603-nucleotide long non-coding RNA. The record is from Ensembl. NCBI's taxonomy places the organism in Eukaryota, Metazoa, Chordata, Actinopteri, Cichliformes, Cichlidae.
GGGCUUGUUAUAGUCUUGUUGUUGAAAUAAGACAAAGAUGUUUGUUGCAAGUAUGUAAACAUUUAGUAUUUUGUCUUUGUUGAAAGAAUAAACACAGAUAUGUUUAAAAUGCCUUCAGCUUUAAUUGCAGUAAUAUUUAGCUGAGAAUACAGGUCUGUACCUACACAUCCUAUUUUAACACUUUCUACACCAGAGUAUUGUUUUAAACUUUACCACGGGCUCAUGAAUCAGUAAUACUUCAAGAUCUCCCAGAAUGACAUACAGUACAUGUUCAUUGUUGUGGCUCAGUAGUGAACUGGACGUCUGUAAGAAUUACUGGAUACAAGCGGUAUAACAUGCUGAAUUCUAACUCAUUACAAUUUAUUAAUAGAUUUGUCCAAAAUGUAACUGAACAUAGUAAAUAUUGCUAAGUUGGAGAUCAUUUAUGGUAACCAUGGAGAUAAAUAUAAGCAAAUCCUGUAUGAUUUCCUCUCAAACUUGUCUUUAUUCUUUAUUCUACUUAAACAGUUGUCAAAUAAGGAAACAUCCUAAAUGUAUAUCAAAUAAAUAAAUAUAACAAUAACACAUUGAAGAAUAAAUAUUUAUUGGCACUGAGCUCCUAGCCACCUAGAAAAUGUUUUGGCAAACCUUGUUAAAAGUCAUCUUUUAAACUGACAGAGCAACCAGCAGCAACCAGAAGCCCUUUUUUACCACAUCUAAAGUGUUACUAAUGGUUGUGGUAUGAUUCUCUGUACACUCUGUUUCAGCUCUGAUACUUUUUCCACAAGUCCAGUGUUUUGUUUAUGUCUGUACCCGCUCACAUUUGUGGCACUGUAGUUUAUGACGAGGUGUGAGAGCAUUUUUUACUUAGUUCAUCUGGCAUUUCAAAUUGCGCACCGAGAAGAAAGCUUCCUCGGAUUUCACUGACAUAUCCAAACAAAGGAACUUCAAAUGUGUGAAAUGGAUCGCACAGGAUAACCAACUAUGCAACAGUGAUGGAAAAAGAUCUUCCAGUGGGAGGGGUGUCAUUCACCCCACCUUUAACCUCGUGGCUGUGUCUAGAUCCAGCACCUACCAGCUUUCAGCAGAGGAUUAAACAGCUAAUGACAGAGAAGUGCUGUGAUUGACAAGUUAAGGUUUCCUUCCUCGUCAGAAGGGCCUUUGUGUCUGUCUCUUGCCCAUUUCUUCCCAGAACUCACAUUUCACAUUCCACCGUGACUUGAACAAUUUCUAAAUUUCUUCAUUGUGAAAUAGCUACAAGUGAACUUGGAGCCACUCUAUUCACACCGUACCUUUAAACUGAAUAAUGAAUAAGUCUUAUUUAAAGUUCUUACACUGCUGUUUGUCUGCCUUGACCAGGUUUUCUCACAUUGCAUGUCCACUGUUCAUCAGUGCAGCAAACAUCUACAGUCUGCUGCAGUCAUCGUCUCAGAUGAGGGAAUUUUCAGCAUCAGUGAAACAUGUGGGAGUACGUAGUUACUGUAUAUUUAUAUUAAGCCUUUGACUGUAUUUGAAUUGAAAGAAGGGCUGUUGGUGGUGGGUAUCACUGCUUGUAAAAACUAAAACAACUUCAAACAAAAGAUUUUGAAUAACCCUGUUUAGAUAUGAUUUUUUCUGGAGAGCCCCUAGUACAUUCAAAGCUAGCACUCCUGGUUCACUGGCAUACAUGUACUGCUGUACGGACAUUCUAAACAUUUUGACAGCUAAGAAAAAACACAAUGCAGGAUGUGAAGGCAGGUCAAAAAAUGAAGUGAUCCUCCUACUAAUGUUCCUGUCAUAUGUUCUAAAAUGUAUGGCGUGUAAGUUAGCGCUACAUCAAUAGAAACUGACAGAGAAUAAUAGCAUGAAGAGCAAAGCUGGAAGGACUUGUCUGUCUGUCUCUCUCAGUCAUCUGGACCAACCUGUCCACAAUCACAGCCUCUUAGAAGAUUUGCUACUGGUUGGGGAAUUUGUAGCCGAGCGAUGCGUCAGGGGUUGUCAUAUAAAAUGUCCCUUCGGCACUGCUGCACUGACACGUGAAAGUCUAUGAAACAGCAAUCAAGACAUCGGUAGCACAGAGGCCAGAGCCAAGUGAACCCAGUCCCAGAGAUCGGGACCCAGAGAUGGCCCGUGAAAUGAGUUGGAGUUGGAAAACCACCAGAGGGAUAUUCCACGCUCUACUGCCAAUUUCACUAUCAUAAUCAGCCUCAGCUUAUAGAGUGAUAUUAUAAGCCUGGCUAUUUUCGCUGACACUUUUGCUCCUUUUUUCUUUUUCUUUUUUUUGGCACAGAUGAUAAGGAAGAUGAUACGAAUUAUGCAGUGACUGAACUGUAGAUUCUGCAAUAAAGAAAAAAUAAAGAAUGAAGCUGUUGAUUCAGACUCACAAAUAUCUGCUACGAGCUUGAUGCCUGGGUAAUGAUUGAUGGUGAAGAACUUCAUUACAUAAGCAUACCUGUCUCAAGUAAAAGACUGACAAAGUAAGCUGUCAUCAAACCAUCAGCUGAGUCCUACUGAAGUUGUAAAGGGCGCCCAUUAACCAAGGCCAAAUUGAAUCCAGAUGUUGUCAAGAAGGUUAUCGCUCUAAAAUAAAUGUUGUCUCAGCAUGUUGAUAUGCUUCUUAUACUCCUAUAAAAUAUAAAUAUGCAACCACAACAAAGCCACUCAAGUUAAUGAACCAACAGAAGUUAAUAGAUGUGGUUGCUUUGUUAAAACCUCCAUGUUUUCUGUCUCACUGGCCAUAUGUCCAAAAGUGAAUCGAAAGCUUUAAAGAAGGUGACAGGCUUUUAGAUUUCUGCAACAGUCUUUUUUUUUUAAGUGGGGCUUAUUGUAAACCAAAUCUGCAUGUAAAUGAAUAAAUCAUAGCAGGUAAAGUACAGCUUAUGAUUUCUCACUUUGUUUUUAUUGCUGUAGGAUGAACUGUAGGAUGAACUGAUUUCUCAGAAUUACCCGAAGCCAUGCGGCUGACAUAUCAGAAAAACCCAAAACAUCAUCAUGCAGUCCCUUUUAUCGCAGGAUCUGAUUUAUGUACACCACUACAGUAGCUAGUCACAUGACACGUGGAUAAGUGGCCUGAUUUUUUGAGUAUACCCAAAAAGUAAUGGUGAACUUACAGAAAUAAUGAGAUUCUUGAAUCCACAUCAGAAUAAAGCACCCAUUAACCUGAGGAGACAAAGUAAGUAGUAACUAAUUAGAUUUUGGUUGGUGCUAAUUGCGUCUUAUAUUGGACAGAAGGAGAUUUAUGGAUAUUAAGGCGAUCAACCUGAUGAGUUUUGUUCUGAUUUAACAGCGACUCCUUAUUAAAUUGUUCCCAAGUAAUUUAUCAUGAUUUAUUAUUUACUAGAUAUCUUUCCCCAACAUUUGGUUUGUUAAUUCUUUUUCUUUAAUUCCUGAGGAUUUUGCGUACUUUCUAUGAAUACUUUGUCUUUGUUCUAGAUGCAAAUAGCAAAUAGGCAUACGCCAUCAAUAGCUUUGAUUUCAUUCAACUGACCUUUCAAAAUGUAGGUCACUAUGUUUAUACCCUGUUGGGAGACCACUGUAAGCAAUUCUGCAAAAGAAGACAUUGAACUCGAUGUGAUGGUGUGUAAUGUGUUAUUUUUGUGACUGUUAUUGAGUUUCUUAAUAUGUAUUUAAUUUUCAUAUGCCACAUGUUUCAAUACACAUCUGGAUGUAUUUAAAUGAAUGUAUAACUGUUUCUAGAAUGUUUAUUUUUAUCUGUUGUACUUUUAAUUGUAUGCUUUUUUUAUGGAAAAGUUUUGCUGUUUAAAGAAAUUUCAGAUUUUAGAUAAUAUACUGCACCCUUUCUUCUCUCUUUAUUAACCAAUUUGGUACCAUUGGAGGUACUGUGAAGAACCAUUUAUAUAUUUAUACUGGACUCUUUGCAACCUAAGUACCAACCCCAUGAUUCUUUAGCCUGUAGAAGCAUCUUUAGCUAUGAUAACUUUAAGUAAUUAUUUUUUGUAUGACUUUACCUGUCCCAUUUCAUUGUCAAAGAUUUUAGUCCGUUCUGCUACACUGCAUUACUUCGGUUCAUUGACGUUUGCAAUCAUUCAUUUACACACAGCUUUCUAAAGGUCCCCCCACAGCAUUUCAGUUUUGUUAGGGUCUGAACUUUGUUUCAUUGCAGCACCUUGAUUCUUUUCUUUUUCAGCCAUUCUGUUGUGGCUGUGCUCAUUGUUGCACAAAACAAUUUCAGCUAAACUUUAGCCUGAUGGCCUGACAUCUGACUAUAGAAUACUUUGGUAUACAGAGAAGUUUAUGGUCAACUCACUGCAAUGUGGCUGCAAAAGGAACCAAAAUCAACCUCCCUCCACCACUGUGUUGCUGUGAGGUGUUUUUUUCUGAUGUGCUGGAUUUGUUUUUUGUCAAACGGGGCACUGUGAAUUAUCUCCAAACAUCUCAGCUGUGGUCCCUUCUGUCCAAAGGACAUUGUUCCAGAUGUGUUGUAGUUUGUUCAGAUUUAGCGUUGCAGACUGCAAUGCUGCCAUGUUUAUUUUUAAGCGAAGAGGUUUUCUCCUGGCAGUCCUUGCAAACAAUCCAUACCCGUUUAGUCUUUUUUCUAACUUUCUAACUUUGACCUUUAGCAUGCUAACUGAGGCCUGUGGAGUGCGAGAUGUAGCCCUUAGAUGUUUUGCGAUUUCUUUGAGCAUUGCAUGGCCCGAAUUUAGGGUGCAUUUGAUGGGAUGUCCACUCCCAGGAAGACUGUGCUAAUACACUCCUGAAUACUCCUGACAACAAAGUAUCAAAACAUUUGCUUUUAUAGAGGCGCUCACACUAUACUGAUGAUCAUUUAAUCCAGUGUUUUCAAUUAGCAGCAUCUGGCUGCUACUUACUCUUUUAAUUCCUGUGGAAGCAGUAAGUGUGUACUUAGUUUUUUACAAGAAUUGCAUUCAACCCUGUGAAAACUUUAUUUUUCACAUCACUAAAAUUCUCUCAGACACUUUUUUGAAGUGUUUUUUUUUUUUUCUACAGCUUCACUGUGAAGAACCACUUUCAGUUCCAGUUUGCACAUUUGUUAUGUAUACAAAAUGUCAGUCAGUUUGGCAGUGGUACUAGGUUCCAGAUUUGAGUUUGGAGUUUUGGUGUUAGGUUGACACAUUUGGAAGUUGUAUCUUUAGUAGCAUUAUUCCAAAAUUUCUCUCACUAUGACAGUAUCUGCUGCACCAUACACAGAUCUUUUUUUUUUUUUCCCAACUUCAGUCAUGUGAACUUCCUUUAUAAAAACUUUUAGGCUUUUACAAAGGUGAAAACAUCCCGUAACAUUUUACUGCAAAAAAAUAUUGUCAAAGUACCUCAUAAUAAAAGUAAAUCUCUAAAAUCUUCUAAAGGUUAGUCAGUUCUGAAAUUCCUAACACAGAAAAGGGUUUUGUUAUUGGUUUUAAGUGAACAGCUUUAUGCAUUUAGAAAGAAUAUCUGCGCUAGAUCACCACUUGUCUGUUAUAUUGAAUACUACAGUAGGAGACCUUUGAAAAAUCUGCGUAUACAUAAAUAAGCUUCUGUGUUCUUUAAUGCGUCUGUGUGUUAAGAAUGUCCUUUCGUAAUAUAAAUCUUCAACAUACUGCAUAGAUCUCUCAGCCACAGCCAGUGGUCUUCAUUUACUUUCAAACACAUCUGCCUUUGGUAUGAAUAUGGCUGUCAGUCCCAUGAAG